GCCAGUGUGGCUCAGUGGAUAGAGUGUUGGCCUGUCAACCAAAGGGUCAUGGGUUCAAUUCCUGAUCAAGGGUA
Non-coding RNA from Myotis davidii, 74 nucleotides. Lineage: Eukaryota; Metazoa; Chordata; Mammalia; Chiroptera; Vespertilionidae. The record is from Rfam.